RNA transcript from Syzygium oleosum, 2259 nucleotides. It is a transcript of the gene named O-fucosyltransferase 9, with no coding region annotated. Lineage: Eukaryota; Viridiplantae; Streptophyta; Magnoliopsida; Myrtales; Myrtaceae. The transcript is spliced from 12 exons. The record is from RefSeq and is a predicted model, not a curated record.
UAGUGGCAAUAAUCGCGGGGGAGGAAUCAUGUCAACAGUUAUUUUGUAGUGAAAAAACAAACCGACCAAAGUGAAAAAGUAACCACCUUUCCCAAUCCUCAUUGAUGACGAAGGACUGCUACGCAAUGUCCACGCACUGCUUGCUGCUUCUGCUUCCACUUGCUGCAAGAGAAUCGAGCCCGAGCUUUGACGAGCAGCGACCUUUUCCCCACCUGCGCUCCCGAAACCCACGUCGCAUCCUGCCCUCGAAUCCGCGCCAUUCCGUCCGAGCUCUCUCCUUCCGCUGCUAGAUCUUCGCGGCGAGGCCGCCGACGCAGAAUGCCGCACGGCCACAGCCGUCUGGGCGCCGGCGGCCGCUCCACGCCCUCGCCGCCCUCCUCGCCGCGGCCCCGCCACGGCCGGAACAAGAGCCUCGGUGGCGGCGGCGGCGGCGGCGGCAGGGGGCCGAAGAAGGGCCUCGUGGAGAAACUGGUGCUGGUGAUCGUGUCGGCGGUCUUUAGGCGGAGGGGCGUGCUCUUGUUCGCGCCGGUGUUGUACAUUGCGGGGAUGGUACUGUACAUGGGGUCUUUCGGGUUCGACGUCGGGGGGAGGAGGAGCGCGGACGGCCCUGCGCCUCCGGGAUCGGUGUACAGGAGUCCUCAGGUCUUCGAGAAGCUGUGGCCUUUGAUGGAGACCCAAAGCAAUUCCAGCUUUAACGCGUUGACCAUGGCAUGGAGUCCAACAUUACAUCAAAGUUGGAAGCCUUGUGGUAGCAUGACUAUCUCUCAAACAGGGUUCACACAAUUGCCAGAAUCGAAUGGUUUCCUUAUAAUUGAAGCAAAUGGCGGGUUGAACCAACAACGCUUGUCGAUAUGUGAUGCGGUGGCAGUAGCUGGACUGCUGAAUGCAACUCUGGUUAUACCUAUUUUUCAUCUGAACAGUGUUUGGCAAGAUUCCAGCAACUUCUCAGACAUAUUUGAUGAAGAUUUUUUCAUUGAUUCUCUCAAGAAUAAUGUAAAGAUAGUCAGAGAGCUCCCAGAAGAUAUGCUUCAGCGAUUUGACUAUAACAUAAGCAGCAUAGUAAAUUUGAGAGUAAAAGCUUGGUCCAGUCGUAACCAUUAUCUUGAAAAGGUCCUUCCGAGGAUAAAGGAACUCGGAGCUGUGCGCAUUGCCCCCUUUUCCAACAGAUUGGCAAAUGCAGUUCCUUCAACUGUACAAGGUCUCAGAUGCUUAGCCAAUUUUGAAGCGCUGAGGUUUGCAGAACCUAUAAGAGUUCUUGCUGAGAGGAUGGUUCAAAGAAUGAUUAGGAGAAGCUCAGAAGGUGGGGGCAGAUAUGUGUCAGUGCAUCUUCGAUUUGAGAAGGAUAUGGUUGCCUUUUCAUGCUGCGAAUAUGAUGGUGGAGAGGAGGAGAAACGUGAAAUGGAUAUUGCUCGAGAAAAAGGAUGGAGAGGAAAAUUUAGGAGAAAAGGAAGAGUGAUAAAACCUGGUGCAAAUCGGAUGGAUGGAAAAUGCCCUCUUACUCCACUGGAGGUGGGCAUGAUGCUUAGGGGUAUGGGUUUUGAUAACACCACUUUAGUAUAUGUAGCAGCAGGAAAAAUUUAUAAAGAAGAAAAGUUUAUAGCCCCUCUUAAGUUGAUGUUUCCUCACCUACAAACAAAGGAUACCCUUGCCACUCCCGAAGAACUUGCUCCAUUCAAGGGCUUUUCAUCCAGAUUGGCAGCUCUUGAUUAUUCAGUUUGCCUUCAUAGUGAGGUAUUUGUGACAACCCAAGGUGGAAACUUUCCUCACUUCUUGAUUGGCCAUAGACGGUACUUAUUUGGAGGCCAUGCCAAGACAAUUAGGCCCGACAAAAGGAAAUUGGCAUUGUUGUUUGAUAACCCGAAAAUCAGUGGUCUAGUUGGAAGGUGGGGGAUGUGGGUCAGAGGUUCAUUUGGAAUCUAAUCUGGGUCGAACUAUAAUGACUUAGAUGCUUUUUACUGGUAAACAAUGGAGAUAUCUGCUUAAGAUCCAUUACCGCUGAGCUGAUAUGAGAAUUGCAACUUAGCAGUUAAUUAGCUGUGCAGGUGGGAGAAUUUCAAGCGCCAGAUGCAAGAUAUGCUUCACCGAAGUGAUGUUAAGGGAAGUGAGCUCAGAAAGCCUGGGGGCUCACUAUACACUUUUCCCAUGCCAGAUUGCAUGUGUAAGCAAAACAAGAUGAGACAUAAACAGUGAUACAAGAAUAUCAAUCAUCUGAAAUAUUGUAAGGAUACGUGUCCUAUAGGUUACAAGUUUAUCACUCGU